RNAcentral lists this long non-coding RNA (503 nucleotides) under Linum usitatissimum (flax). RNAcentral describes it as "long non-coding RNA (LUSI_LNC004256)". Lineage: Eukaryota; Viridiplantae; Streptophyta; Magnoliopsida; Malpighiales; Linaceae. The record is from RNAcentral.
UCCAUUCGGUGUAAAGGAUAGUUUUACCCCUGCGGAUUUAUUGAUAGGCUAACCAGUCAAAUUCAGUUUGAAUCAAAACCUAACUGGUCAGAAUUGAUAGGGUAGAUGGUUCAUAUUUUAGGAUCAAUUUGUGGAUUAUUUUCAUCUUUUAAAUUCAAUUCUUUGAAGAUAUAAAUGAGCAUCGAUGUGUCAAAUUCCACAUUAAAUUCUAGGAAUGUCCAUAAGCCUGUUUUUAGAGGAUUUUGGGGUCUGUCAAAGAGAGUUUAGUCAAGAUUGCAAUAUAAAUAGGUAUCCAGAUCGAUUUUAUCCAAACCGGUUGAAGUUCAGACCACAAAUUCCACAUCAAAUUCGAGCCGCCACUGGACCCGCGCCGACGAUAUCUUCUUACAGGCCACCGGCAAGAAGAUGAGAAGGGAUGAGGCAAACGUCAAGAACCUCGGCAGAUAGGUGGCGACAUCCAUGAAAACGUGGAGGAAUGAAGAAACCGGGCGAGUGAAUGACAC